UCGGGAAUUUUGGGCAAUGGGCGAAAGCCUGACCCAGCAACGCCGCGUGAAGGAUGAAGUAUUUCGGUAUGUAAACUUCGAAAGAAUAGGAAGAAUAAAUGACGGUACUAUUUAUAAGGUCCGGCUAACUACGUGCCAGCAGCCGCGGUAAUACGUAGGGACCAAGCGUUGUUCGGAUUUACUGGGCGUAAAGGGCGCGUAGGCGGCAAUUCAAGUCAUCUGUGAAAUCUCCGGGCUUAACUCGGAACGGUCAGAUGAUACUGCUUUGCUAGAGUGCAGAAGGGGCAAUCGGAAUUCUUGGUGUAGCGGUGAAAUGCGUAGAUAUCAAGAGGAACACCUGAGGCGAAGGCGGGUUGCUGGGCUGAUACUGACGCUGAGGCGCGAAAGCUAGGGUAGCAAACGGGAUUAGAUACCCAUGUAGUCCCUGAGCGGGCUGGCAAGGCGCAU
RNAcentral lists this ribosomal RNA (447 nucleotides) under uncultured bacterium. RNAcentral describes it as "bacterial SSU rRNA". It matches the Rfam family "Bacterial small subunit ribosomal RNA", at positions 355 to 825 of the family's 1533-position model. The record is from RNAcentral.